This 253-nucleotide ribosomal RNA is filed under the name uncultured bacterium. RNAcentral describes it as "partial 16S ribosomal RNA". It matches the Rfam family "Bacterial small subunit ribosomal RNA", at positions 524 to 776 of the family's 1533-position model. The record is from RNAcentral.
UACGAAGGGGGCUAGCGUUGCUCGGAAUCACUGGGCGUAAAGGGUGCGUAGGCGGGUCUUUAAGUCAGGGGUGAAAUCCUGGAGCUCAACUCCAGAACUGCCUUUGAUACUGAAGAUCUUGAGUUCGGGAGAGGUGAGUGGAACUGCGAGUGUAGAGGUGAAAUUCGUAGAUAUUCGUAAGAACACCAGUGGCGAAGGCGGCUCACUGGCCCGAUACUGACGCUGAGGCGCGAAAGCCAGGGGAGCGAACGGG